UGAACGCUGGCGGCGUGCCUAAUACAUGCAAGUCGAGCGAACGGACGAGAAGCUUGCUUCUCUGAUGUUAGCGGCGGACGGGUGAGUAACACGUGGAUAACCUACCUAUAAGACUGGGAUAACUUCGGGAAACCGUAGCUAAUACCGGAUAAUAUUUUGAACCGCAUGGUUCAAAAGUGAAAGACGGUCUUGCUGUCACUUAUAGAUGGAUCCGCGCUGCAUUAGCUAGUUGGUAAGGUAACGGCUUACCAAGGCAACGAUGCAUAGCCGACCUGAGAGGGUGAUCGGCCACACUGGAACUGAGACACGGUCCAGACUCCUACGUGAGGCAGCAGUAGGGAAUCUUCCGCAAUGGGCGAAAGCCUGACGGAGCAACGCCGCGUGAGUGAUGAAGGUCUUCGGAUCGUAAAACUCUGUUAUUAGGGAAGAACAUAUGUGUAAGUAACUGUGCACAUCUUGACGGUACCUAAUCAGAAAGCCACGGCUAACUACGUG
RNAcentral lists this ribosomal RNA (495 nucleotides) under uncultured bacterium. Its description in RNAcentral is "partial 16S ribosomal RNA". It matches the Rfam family "Bacterial small subunit ribosomal RNA", at positions 30 to 507 of the family's 1533-position model. The record is from RNAcentral.